This 1040-nucleotide long non-coding RNA is filed under the name Homo sapiens (human). RNAcentral describes it as "HSALNT0374219". The record is from RNAcentral. Lineage: Eukaryota; Metazoa; Chordata; Mammalia; Primates; Hominidae.
CAGCAAGAAGGCAGCAUCUAUAAGCUAGGAAGGAGGCCCUCACCAGACUUGGAAUCUGCUGGCUUCCUGAUCUUGGCCUUUCUAGCCUCCAGAACUGAACAUGGAUGAAGCUGGAGGCCAUUAUCCUUAGCAAACUAACACAAGAACAGAAAACCAAAUACCGCAUGUUCUUCCUUAUAAGUGGGAGCUACAUGAUGAGAUGAGAACAUGAGAGCCUGGGCAGGUUUUCUAUUCUCCUGAGUGGAACCAUCAGACUUUUCUUGAGGGAUUGGCCCUCUAGUGAAGAGCAUGGAGUGGACUGGGCCAGGGAAAGAUCCUCAGAUAAUCCUUACAUUGCCCAAAGGAACCAAGUGAAAUUACCAAAUUAGAAGUGAUAAGAGGUUGACUCUCUCCAGAAAUUUAUUGUAAUUAGAAAGAGGUAAUGGUGUCUAAAUAAGAUGAAAGAAGAUAUUUUAAAGAUGAUAAUAACAAAAACUACUAGAAUGAGGUGAAGCCAGAAAGGAAGAGUCAUAAUCAAAGAAGAGAGUGAUCAAGAAUCCAAAAUAGACAGAGAGAGCAGGCUCUUAGAGAAAUGGGAGAACUACCGCACUGACUCUGCACGUAGGAGACAGGCAGGAGAGGAGCGCCCCAGCCAGAGCUCAACAUGCGCAAACAGGAAGUGUGUCCGAGGUUUUCUGGAGCUCACAGGAGCCGGGGACCCACAGCCAGACGUUUAUCUGAAAGAAAAGCAGACAAGACAAACUAAAUCAGCAACCAUCCCUUUGGAUGCCAGCUGACCUCGGAUGGAGAUUUAGUGCUAGAUGUAAAAGGCUUUGUUUACAGACAAUUAAAAACCACAUAAAUUUAAAUUGUCAAAGAAGAAAUGGUUUCCAAAGCUUCUAACAGCCUGGUAGCCCCUCCUCAGCCCUGUGCAGGAAAGGCCCAGAGGCAAAUACAAAGCCACCAACCCAAAUGCCUGUGGAGUUUGCCAGAAAGCCAGAUCCUGCUGCUUCUGCUGCUUGUUACUGAUGUUGAAAAAUAAAAUCUUAUACAGCUUCAAA